RNAcentral lists this ribosomal RNA (471 nucleotides) under uncultured bacterium. RNAcentral's name for it is "partial 16S ribosomal RNA". It matches the Rfam family "Bacterial small subunit ribosomal RNA", at positions 28 to 507 of the family's 1533-position model. The record is from RNAcentral.
GACGAACGCUGGCGGCGUGCUUAACACAUGCGAGUCGAACGAUGAAGCCUAGCUUGCUAGGUGGAUUAGUGGCGAACGGGUGAGUAAUACGUGAGUAACCUACCUUUAACUCUGGGAUAAGCCUGGGAAACUGGGUCUAAUACCGGAUACGACCAAUCUCCGCAUGGGGUGUUGGUGGAAAGCGUUAUGUAGUGGUUAUAGAUGGGCUCACGGCCUAUCAGCUUGUUGGUGAGGUAACGGCUCACCAAGGCGACGACGGGUAGCCGGCCUGAGAGGGUGACCGGCCACACUGGGACUGAGACACGGCCCAGACUCCUACGGGAGGCAGCAGUGGGGAAUAUUGCACAAUGGGCGCAAGCCUGAUGCAGCGACGCCGCGUGAGGGAUGACGGCCUUCGGGUUGUAAACCUCUGUUAGCAGGGAAGAAGAGAAAUUGACGGUACCUGCAGAGAAAGCGCCGGCUAACUACGUG